Molecule: ribosomal RNA, 740 nt
Filed under: uncultured soil bacterium
Lineage: Bacteria
Description: bacterial SSU rRNA
Rfam family: Bacterial small subunit ribosomal RNA
Source: RNAcentral
GAUGAACGCUAGCGGCAGGCUUAAUACAUGCAAGUCGAGGGGCAGCAUGAGUGUAGCAAUACAUUUGAUGGCGACCGGCAAACGGGUGCGGAACACGUACACAACCUUCCUUUAAGUGGGGAAUAGCCCGGGGAAACCCGGAUUAAUACCCCGUAACAUUAUGAAAUGGCAUCAUUUUAUAAUUAUAGCUCCGGCGCUUAAUGAUGGGUGUGCGGCUGAUUAGAUAGUUGGCGGGGUAACGGCCCACCAAGUCUGCGAUCAGUAACUGGUGUGAGAGCACGACCAGUCACACGGGCACUGAGACACGGGCCCGACUCCUACGGGAGGCAGCAGUAAGGAAUAUUGGUCAAUGGACGCAAGUCUGAACCAGCCAUGCCGCGUGGAGGAUGAAGGUCCUCUGGAUUGUAAACUUCUUUUAUUUGGGACGAAAAAGGAUCUUUCUAGAUCAACUGACGGUACCAGAUGAAUAAGCACCGGCUAACUCCGUGCCAGCAGCCGCGGUAAUACGGGGGGGGUAAGCGUUGUUCGGGAUUACUGGGCGUAAAGGGCUCGUAGGCGGCCAACUAAGUCGGACGUGAAAUCCCUCAGCUUAACUGGGGAACUGCGUCCGAUACUGGAUGGCUUGGAUUCGGGAGAGGAGUGCGGAAUUCCAGGUGUAGCGGUGAAAUGCGUAGAUAUCUGGAGGAACGCCGGUGGCGAAGGCGGCAUUCUGGACCGACAUUGACGCUGAGGAGCGAAAG